This is a long non-coding RNA of Clupea harengus (Atlantic herring), 1184 nucleotides long. NCBI's taxonomy places the organism in Eukaryota, Metazoa, Chordata, Actinopteri, Clupeiformes, Clupeidae. The record is from Ensembl.
ACAGCCUCCUGUGCUUUCCCUAUGAGUGUGGAGGCGGGGCACUUCAGUCCAAGACUCGUCCACCGAAAAUAACCUGCAUGAGGGAGGGAAGAGACUUCCAGAGAAAAGUGAGAGAGAGUAGAGGGAGGAGGAAAGGAUAGUGCCCGAAAAAGCGGGGAGGGAGAGAAGAAGAAGAAGAACGGAGUGCCUGCGCUGCGAUGGAAUAAAAACUGCGCAAUUUUAAAUCCUAUCUCCGCUGCUCUUCCAGCGCUGGCCAGCGGCUGCAGCGCAGCCACACGCCACCCGAUGUCUCCUGGACAUGCGAACACGUUUCGUCCAGCUUGCGUGGAUUUCCUCGUCCUUUACCACUGGCUGUUCGUUUAGACAACAAUUGUGUGACAAUUUCUUUGAUAGUCUUUGAGCUACAUGGCAAACGUUUUGGAGAAGAAUUGGCAGAGACAAGCCUCUGUGACGGCCACAUCUUUGCUUCGGUUUCAUAACGUAUCUGCGUGUGUAGAAGUGCAUCCUCACGCCGUCAUUUCAAACAUGCGUAUCGAUUCGGAAUGCAUAAUUAAACCUUCUUACAUGACCACGCUCGUGCUGCGUGACUCUCCAGGCGUCCAUUCUGGUGGGAAGAGGAGAAUGCCUACCAUAAUCGUCUUUUGGGAUGUAUCACUGGACAAUUUAACGUUAUGGAGAAGGGGCACGGCACCUCCCAGUCACACUCUGCUUUUGGCAGCAGAGAAAUGCAACCAAACAUGAAUGCUGAUGAACUGGCUGGGCAGCCACAGCACAAGGUCAGAGAGUUUGUCCAUGGAUCACGGCCACCAAUCAUGGAGUCUCUCGAGCAACUGAGUGGCAGACCAAAUGGCCAAUCAGCUUUCGGAGAGGAGUCCUCCCUCCCUCUGCUGUGUUUGUCUCUCUGUCUCCCCCGGUCCACCGGGCUGCUCCCUGCCCCUCCCCAGGCAGAGACCACCAUGCUGGGCAGCACUCUUUGUUUCCAUAUAGGGUAUGUGCAGAGUAUGACAUCAUGUCACACAAAGGUGCUUUAUGUUGUGUGGGUUUGGACACAAGCCAGAUUGCUAGCGCGAGCUGGAUAGAGAGAAUAUGAGAUUGAGGGUAGGGAGAGAGAGAUGACAGAAAGAGGAAGAGAGAGGACUCACCAUAUACAAAAGCAAGGUGAGAGAGAGAGAGAGAGAGAGAGA